CCUACGGGGGGCUGCAGUGGGGAAUAUUGGACAAUGGGGGGAACCCUGAUCCAGCCAUGCCGCGUGUGUGAAGAAGGCCCUCGGGUUGUAAAGCACUUUCAGUGAGGAAGAACGCCUGGUGGUUAAUACCCAUCAGGAAAGACAUCACUCACAGAAGAAGCACCGGCUAACUCCGUGCCAGCAGCCGCGGUAAUACGGAGGGUGCGAGCGUUAAUCGGAAUUACUGGGCGUAAAGCGCGCGUAGGUGGCUUGAUAAGCCGGUUGUGAAAGCCCCGGGCUCAACCUGGGAACGGCAUCCGGACCUGUCAAGCUAGAGUGCAGGAGAGGAAGGUAGAAUUCCCGGUGUAGCGGUGAAAUGCGUAGAGAUCGGGAGGAAUACCAGUGGCGAAGGCGGCCUUCUGGACUGACACUGACACUGAGGUGCGAAAGCGUGGGUAGCAAACAGGAUUAGAUACCCCGGUAGUC
This 465-nucleotide ribosomal RNA is filed under the name Vreelandella stevensii. RNAcentral's name for it is "partial 16S ribosomal RNA". It matches the Rfam family "Bacterial small subunit ribosomal RNA", at positions 338 to 795 of the family's 1533-position model. The record is from RNAcentral. Lineage: Bacteria; Pseudomonadati; Pseudomonadota; Gammaproteobacteria; Oceanospirillales; Halomonadaceae.